This 381-nucleotide ribosomal RNA is filed under the name Acinetobacter baumannii. RNAcentral's name for it is "bacterial SSU rRNA". It matches the Rfam family "Bacterial small subunit ribosomal RNA", at positions 1 to 382 of the family's 1533-position model. The record is from RNAcentral. Lineage: Bacteria; Pseudomonadati; Pseudomonadota; Gammaproteobacteria; Moraxellales; Moraxellaceae.
UUUAACUGAAGAGUUUGAUCAUGGCUCAGAUUGAACGCUGGCGGCAGGCUUAACACAUGCAAGUCGAGCGGGGGAAGGUAGCUUGCUACUGGACCUAGCGGCGGACGGGUGAGUAAUGCUUAGGAAUCUGCCUAUUAGUGGGGGACAACAUCUCGAAAGGGAUGCUAAUACCGCAUACGUCCUACGGGAGAAAGCAGGGGAUCUUCGGACCUUGCGCUAAUAGAUGAGCCUAAGUCGGAUUAGCUAGUUGGUGGGGUAAAGGCCUACCAAGGCGACGAUCUGUAGCGGGUCUGAGAGGAUGAUCCGCCACACUGGGACUGAGACACGGCCCAGACUCCUACGGGAGGCAGCAGUGGGGAAUAUUGGACAAUGGGGGGAACC